Molecule: non-coding RNA, 21 nt
Filed under: Caenorhabditis elegans
Lineage: Eukaryota; Metazoa; Nematoda; Chromadorea; Rhabditida; Rhabditidae
Source: RNAcentral
UGCGAUAUUCAGACAAAAUCC